GCCCAACACCCCCAUGAUCAUGACCUUUUAACCCUGGAGAAACCUGCAUUUGGGUGGACUGUGGAUGUGUAACAUGUUUUGUUCCAUAAGAAGCUUCAACAUCAGCAUCCAGAUCCCCCAUAGGAUGAUACUGAAAUUUACGAACUCCCGAAGGCUUUCGACCAACAUGGCCAGAUGAUUUUAGUUUUGCCCCAGACAAAGUCUGUGAAUCAUUUGCAUCUUGCCAAGC
Molecule: unclassified non-coding RNA, 229 nt
Filed under: Hevea brasiliensis (rubber tree)
Lineage: Eukaryota; Viridiplantae; Streptophyta; Magnoliopsida; Malpighiales; Euphorbiaceae
Source: RNAcentral